AUAAAUCGUGCUAGGUUAUGUAAACGACAUGACCUAAGGCGUUUCAUACUGUGUCUUGCGCGUGUUUGAAACUAAUUUAUUACAUCUCUACUAUUAUAAAGCUAAACCCUAACCUACGGUGUCACAAGCUUUGAAACCAAAAAAACAAAAGAAAAGAAAAACCAAUAGCACCUCACAUACAAAACCGAAAGAAAAAACCACCACAAUGCGUAAGGAUGUUAAUUUUAAAUUGAGCCAAAAUAAAUAAAUAAAACACAACAGAAAAGACCACCACAAUGCCAGGAGGUUAUGUAAAGAUAUCAAAGGUCCUAAUUCUGCCACAUGUCAGAAGAUUGAAGAAGAGAGUUGUUGAAAUAUUGUUAAGACUGUUAGGCAGUUUUAGAGUUCUGUUAAAGUAGUUAGAAAGGCUAAGAGGUUAGAAACGUGUACACAAAGCUUUGUCAAGCUAGUAUAAAACCGAUUACUGUACUGUGUUGAAUAAUCAAGUAUGAAUACAUCAAUUCUUCUUCUAAGAUCUCUGCUUUUCUCUGUUAAACUCUGUUCAAUAUUGCUAUUCUCACAUGGUAUCAUCGCCAUAGUACGAUCCUGAGCUUCCGCAUUCCUUUUCUUUGCUGCAAUUUCUGUUCUUCUGUCUCUAUCCUCUCUUCUCUUCUUCUUUGUUCAUUCAUCGAGCUUCUUUCCCUCUUCAACCCCACUAUUCCCUUUCGUAGUCUUUGCUCUGCCUACCACCUGUUUGUUCUUUUACCUCACAGAAACUUCUGCUUGUUCUAUUGCCCAUUUCUUUUCUUCUCAAACCUAUUAUCUUCCUGAAUACUCAUCAUGGUGACUGCUACUCAACUUCAAAUUGUUCAAUCUCCGAUUACUACCUUAAUUCCCACUGUCUCUACUUCUGUGACAGUUAAGCUUGAUGAUGCAAAUUAUCUCACUUGGAAUUUUCAGAUGCAGCUUCUUCUUGAAGGUCAUGGCUUAUUGGGGUUUGUUGAUGGUUCACGGCUGUGUCCUCCUCGUUUUGAUGAAGAUUCUGCUGUUGAAGGUGUGGAAACUGAUGCUUAUGCAGUGUGGAAGAUGCAUGAUCGUGCCUUGAUGCAAUUGCUAAUUGCCACCCUUUCUUCUGCUGCAAUCUCAUAUGUCAUUGGGUGUACUAGUUCUCAUGAUAUGUGGGUUCAGUUGAAGGACAGAUUUUCUAUGGUUACCAAAGCUAGGAUUUUUCAGAUGAAAAGUGAGCUUCAGAAUAUCAAGAAGGGUGCUGACCCAGUCUCUCAAUACUUGCACAAGAUAAAGGAUGCUAGAGAUCAUCUUGCUGCUGCUGGGGUUUCUUUUGAUGAUGAUGAUAUUGUCAUCUUGGCUCUUAAUGGUCUUCCCCCAGAAUAUAAUACAUUUCGGUGUAUGGUUCGAGGCAGGGAAAAUGUGCUCUCUCUUAAAGAUUUUAGAUCUCAGUUGCUUGCUGAAGAGGCCAUUCUUGAACAUACUUGCUCUGCCACUCCUUUUGCCUCUGCAAUGAUGGCGAACAAUCAAUCAUUCCAAGGAACAUCUCUUGUUCUUGCUGACACUUCCCCGUCUGUCCCAUCUUCUAUUUCAUCUAGCCACAAUGGUGGUGUUCAUGGUGGUCUCAAUGGAGGUGUCCACUCUAGCUCUAAUGGUGGCUCUUUUUCACAUAAUGGUGGUUUCCAAUCUGGCCCUAAUAGAGGUUCCUUUUAUCGAGGAAGAGGCAGACCUCGGCAUCAGUUUUCUUCUAGUCCAAGACCGUAUCAAGCUCCACCUAAUUCUGGCCCUGGCAUCCUUGGUUCGGGUACUGAUAUUCCAACUUGUCAAAUAUGCAACAAGAAAGGUCAUCUUGCUGCUGAUUGUUAUCAGCGACAUCAGCAAUUCACAAGUCCUAGUUCCUCUGUUCAAUGCCAAAUUUGCUGGAAGUAUGGCCACACCGCUAUUCAGUGUUACCACAGAGGCAAUUUUUCCUAUCAAGGCAAACCUCCUUCAUCCAAUCUUACUGCAAUGCAUGCCGACUGUUCUCCUUCCUCAUCAGCUGAGCAAUUUUGGGUAGCUGAUACUGGAGCAACAGCCCAUAUGACGUCUGAUUUGUCUCAACUCAGUCUUGCUACCCCUUUCUUAGGAAAUGAGACUAUCACCACUGCGGGGGGUUCAGGUUUGAGUAUUUCUAGUGUUGGCUCUUCUUCUUUGAAUACUCCUCAGUGUUCUUUCCAAUUAUCGAAAGUUUUGCAUGUGCCAAAGAUAUCUCAGCAUUUGCUUUCUGUGCAUCGGUUAUGUAAAGAUAAUAACUGCAGAUUUAUAUGUGAUGCAUUUGGCUUUUGGAUUCAGGACAAACUCACGGGGAGUGUUCUUCUCAAGGGGCUGUGUAGAGCUGGCCUAUAUUCAAUUCCUUUCUUUCCUUCACAGCCUCAUCCUACUCCAGCUGCUUCUCUCCUCAAACAACAUUUCUGCUUUCUUGGACAUCCAGUAAACACUAGUCUGUGGCACAAGCGAUUUGGUCAUCCCUCCAAUAUCAUUACUACUGCUCUUUUACAUCAAACACAGGUUCCUUUUUCUUCAGACAAAGUCCAAUCUAUCUGUCAUCAUUGUUUAGAAGGCAAACUAGCUAAACUUCCUUUUCAUUAUCCAGCAGUAAAAUCUGUCAAACCUUUAGAGGUGAUUCAUAGUGAUGUGUGGGGUCCUUCUCCAACAAUAUCUGUUGAGGGGUUCAAAUAUUAUGUUAGCUUUGUAGAUGAGUGUACUCGAUUUACUUGGCUCUUUCCAAUGAUCAAUAAAGCAGAAGUUUACUCUAUUUUUGUUCAUUUUCAUGCUUACUUAGUCACUCAGUUCUCUGCUUCUCUUAAGGUUUUUCAAAGUGAUGGAGGUGGUGAGUAUCUUAGUCAUAAAUUUCAACAUUUUCUUCUUGCUAGAGGUAUCAUUCAUCAUAAAUCAUGUCCCUAUACACCUGAACAAAAUGGCUUAGCUGAGAGAAAACACCGACACAUCUUAGAGACUGCUAUCACUUUAUUGCAAACUGCUCAUUUACCACCAAAAUUUUGGUUUCAUGCUUGUGCUACUUCAGUCUACUUGAUCAAUAGGAUGCCUUGUAAAACUCUUCAUUUAAAAUCUCCUUAUUUCUUAUUGUUUGGAUCUGCCCCAGCCAUUACUCAUCUAAAGGUAUUUGGCUGUGCUUGCUUUCCUUUGCUCAAGCCUUAUAAUACAAACAAACUUCAGCCAAAAACUUCUACUUGUGUCUUUCUAGGCUAUGCAGGACAAUAUAAAGGCUAUAUUUGUUUUUCUCUCCUUACCAAUAGACUAUUUGUCACUAGACAUGUCCUAUUUGAUGAAACUAUGUUUCCAUUCACAUCUGUCCAUCCAGUAAGUAUCUCUUCAUCUCCGUAUCUCCCUUCCUCUUCUCCUCCUCCAUCCAUUUCAUUCACUAAUACUGUCUUAUCACCUCUCUCUUCUCUUUCCAUUGCCUCACCUUCUCCUUCCACCUUUGAAGCCAAUGAACCUUUGACUACUUCCCCUUCUGCUACACAUUCAGCUACACAGUCUCCUCUCCCUGUGGAUCCUGAUUUUCAGCCUGAAAGUCUUCGUGUUGUCUUGCCUCUACCAUCUAUAAAUCUGCAUCCUAUGACAACACGGUCUAAAAAUGGCAUCUCCAAGAGGAAGGCUUUUUCUGCUUCUACUUCUACUGAUUUCUCUACAAUUGAGCCUAGUUCUUUCAAGGCUGCUUCUCAAUCACCGGAAUGGCAAUCUGCCAUGCGGGAGGAAAUUGAGGCUCUUCAUGCUCAAGGUACUUGGGAUUUGGUUCCUCUCCCAGCUCAUAAGAAUCUUGUUGGCUGUAAAUGGGUUUAUAGGAUCAAGAAGAAUGCAGAUGGUUCUAUUGCUAGGCAUAAGGCUCGCUUGGUUGCUAAGGGAUUUAGUCAAGAGGAGGGUAUUGAUUAUUAUGAAACCUUCAGUCCGGUAGUUAAACCAACCACUGUUCGAUUAGUUCUGGCUCUGGCCGCUCAGUUUCAGUGGUCCUUACGGCAACUUGAUGUUAAAAAUGCGUUCUUGCAUGGUGUUCUUCAAGAGGAGGUUUAUAUGACACAACCUCAAGGCUUUGAGAGUAAGCUUUAUUCUUCUGAUUUUGUUUGCAGACUCAAGAAGUCCUUGUAUGGUUUAAAACAGGCUCCUCGUGCCUGGAAUGAAAGAUUUACUAGCUUCUUACCAAGCUUGGGUUUUCAAGCUUCAACUGCGGAUCCAUCUCUCUUUCUUCACCAUUCGUCACUUGGUACUGUGGUUUUGCUUCUCUAUGUUGAUGAUAUCAUUCUUACUGGCAGUAAUUCAUCUCUUAUUGCAUCUGUAAUUAGUGCUUUAACUCAGGAGUUUGAUAUGAAGGAUUUAGGCCAAUUGACUUAUUUUCUGGGGCUCCAAAUUUCAUAUCAGUCUGCUGGCUUGUUUGUGUCUCAAACUAAGUAUAUCAAGGAACUGCUUGGCAAGGUUGAUUUGCAGGAUUCAAAACCGUGUCCUACUCCUUGUCUUCCUUAUCACAGACUCUUGAAAGAUGAUGGCAAACCUUAUUCUCAUCCAGAGCAGUAUAGAAGCAUUGUUGGUGCUUUGCAGUACCUCACUUUCACAAGGCCAGAUAUUGCCUUCUCAGUGAAUCAAGCUUGUCAAUUUAUGCAUAAUCCUAUGGAAUCUCAUGUUGUGGCAGUUAAGAGAAUCCUGAGGUAUUUGAAAGGAACCAUUGAUUUUGGCAUUUGGUUUAAGCCUGGUCUUCUUCAUCUGCACGCUUAUAGUGAUGCUGACUGGGCUGGGGAUCCUAAUGACCGCAGAUCUGUUUCGGGAUUUAUUGUUUACUUAGGCUCUAGUCCUAUUUCUUGGGCUUCUAAGAAGCAACAUACUGUCUCUCGUUCGUCCACUGAGGCAGAGUAUAGGGCUUUGGCGAUUACGGCUGCUGAACUUGCAUGGAUCAGACAGUUGUUCUGUGAUCUGCACGUUCCAUUACAUGUUCCUCCUUUAAUUCAUUGUGACAAUAUCUCUGCUAUUGCUCUCUCUUCCAACCCAGUGUUUCAUUCCCGAAUGAAACAUCUACAGAUUGAUUAUCAUUUUGUUCGAGAACGAGUCAUUCGGGGUGAUUUACUUGUGCAACAUGUCUCUUCUGCAGAACAAUUUGCUGACAUUCUCACUAAGGGGCUGUCUAUCCCUUUAUUCCAGCAUCAUUGUUCCAAUCUCAUGCUUGGCUCCUCCAAGCAUGAGAUUGAGGGGGCAUGUAAAGAUAUCAAAGGUCCUAAUUCUGCCACAUGUCAGAAGAUUGAAGAAGAGAGUUGUUGAAAUAUUGUUAAGACUGUUAGGCAGUUUUAGAGUUCUGUUAAAGUAGUUAGAAAGGCUAAGAGGUUAGAAACGUGUACACAAAGCUUUGUCAAGCUAGUAUAAAACCGAUUACUGUACUGUGUUGAAUAAUCAAGUAUGAAUACAUCAAUUCUUCUUCUAAGAUCUCUGCUUUUCUCUGUUAAACUCUGUUCAAUAUUGCUAUUCUCACAAG
Molecule: long non-coding RNA, 5500 nt
Filed under: Prunus persica (peach)
Lineage: Eukaryota; Viridiplantae; Streptophyta; Magnoliopsida; Rosales; Rosaceae
Description: long non-coding RNA (PPER_LNC007406)
Source: RNAcentral